UACAGAGGGGGCAAGCGUUGUUCGGAAUUACUGGGCGUAAAGCGCGCGUAGGUGGCCUCAUAAGUCCGCUGUGAAAGUCAAAGGCUCAACCUUUGAAAGCCGGUGGAUACUGUGAGGCUAGAGUACGGAAGAGGCGAGUGGAAUUCCUGGUGUAGCGGUGGAAUGCGCAGAUAUCAGGAGGAACACCAAUAGCGAAGGCAGCUCGCUGGGACGUUACUGACACUGAGGCGCGAAAGCGUGGGGAGCGAACAGG
RNAcentral lists this ribosomal RNA (253 nucleotides) under uncultured bacterium. RNAcentral's name for it is "partial 16S ribosomal RNA". It matches the Rfam family "Bacterial small subunit ribosomal RNA", at positions 524 to 776 of the family's 1533-position model. The record is from RNAcentral.